UCCGGCAGCCAUAUCACCCUGGAGCCCAAGACCGGUUGCCCACUGAAGCUAAUCAGGGCUGAGCCUGGUCAGUACCUGGAUGGGAGACCUCCUGGGAAAACUAGGUUGCUGCUGGAA
This 117-nucleotide ribosomal RNA is filed under the name Carassius auratus (goldfish). The record is from RNAcentral. Lineage: Eukaryota; Metazoa; Chordata; Actinopteri; Cypriniformes; Cyprinidae.